UUUUAUUUUUUAAAGUCGACAACUAAAUUUUUGUUUUUAAAAAAACGGUUUCGACAAUAAUAAUUUUGGGAACCUAAAUAAGUUAAUUAAUAAUUCAAGUUUAUCAUACUGAAGUAAUUUUUUUUUCUUAUUUUGUUUUGAUUUUUUUUCAAAUAUAUAUGGUUUAAAAUUUAUAUACUCUAACAUGAAAUUAAUUAUAUUGUA
RNAcentral lists this long non-coding RNA (204 nucleotides) under Gossypium raimondii (Peruvian cotton). Its description in RNAcentral is "long non-coding RNA (GRAI_LNC006056)". Lineage: Eukaryota; Viridiplantae; Streptophyta; Magnoliopsida; Malvales; Malvaceae. The record is from RNAcentral.